Molecule: long non-coding RNA, 775 nt
Filed under: Homo sapiens (human)
Lineage: Eukaryota; Metazoa; Chordata; Mammalia; Primates; Hominidae
Description: HSALNT0330422
Source: RNAcentral
CCCGUGGACGGCCAAUCACAGGCGGGUUUUCCGGCUCUUCCUGGUCCCUACUCUCGCCUCGUGCUGAGUCCUCGAAUCACCUGCCAUGGACACAAUUGGAAACAGUGGUUAUUUUACCAACGCUUUGACUGGAAUGGCACGUUUUCCUUUAAGGAAUCAAACUUGACUUGUAAAGCCAAUAAAAGCCCCUUGGGGAAUUGGCCUCAGACCUUGUCUACAACAGCCCCUGUACAGGGUUUCUGACCUGUGAUAUCACCUUUUGUCAAAACUCGGAGUUAUGAAUUGCCCUCGCCAUACUGAUGCUUUCUGACUGAGCUCCUCUCUACCCUGAAUACAAGAGACUCUCAUAGUUAAGCAAGAAUAUCAUUGCUCCUAUUCAGCAUGAAGAAGUUACAGAAGAUGGAUUUUCAACCCUCUGCAACCCUUAGGAUUAAAAUUAUACAAACCUUUAGGAUUAUAAAAGGGAGGGGGUAAUGUCAGGCGUGUGAACCAGAGCAACUCCAUUUUGAGUAGAAGCUGUGUAAAACGAGGCUGAAACCUACUAGGCUGCAUUCCCAGACAGUUAAGGCAUUCUAAGUCACAGGAUGAGAUAGGAGGCUGGCAUAAAAUACAGGUCAUAAACAGCUUGCAGAUAAAACAGGUUGCAGUAAAGAAGCUGGCUAAAACCCACCAAAACCUAGAUGGUGACAAGAGUCACUUCUUAUCAUCCUCACUGCUACACUCCCACCAGUGCCAUGAUAGUUUACAGAUGCCAUGGCAACAUCAGGACAUUACC